AAUUUUGGACAAUGGGGGAAACCCUGAUCCAGCCAUCCCGCGUGUGCGAUGAAGGNCUNNGGGUUNUNAAGCACUUUUGGCAGNNNNNAAACGGCGCCGGAUAAUACCUGGCGCAACUGACGGUACCUGCAGAAUAAGCACCGGCUAACUACGUGCCAGCAGCCGCGGUAAUACGUAGGUUGCAAGCGUUAAUCGGAAUUACUGGGCGUAAAGCGUGCGCAGGCGGUUCGGAAAGAAAGAUGUGAAAUCCCAGAGCUUAACUUUGGAACUGCAUUUUUAACUGCCGAGCUAGAGUAUGUCAGAGGGGGGUAGAAUUCAACGUGUAGCAGUGAAAUGCGUAGAGAUGUGGAGGAAUACCGAUGGCGAAGGCAGCCCCCUGGGAUAAUACUGACGCUCAUGCACGAAAGCGUGGGGAGCAAACA
Molecule: ribosomal RNA, 422 nt
Filed under: uncultured bacterium
Lineage: Bacteria
Description: partial 16S ribosomal RNA
Rfam family: Bacterial small subunit ribosomal RNA
Source: RNAcentral